UACAGAGGUCUCAAGCGUUGUUCGGAUUCAUUGGGCGUAAAGGGUGUGUAGGUGGCGCGCUAAGACGGGUGUGAAAUUUCGGAGCUUAACUCCGAAACUGCAUUCGAUACUGGCGUGCUUGAGGACUGGAGAGGAGACUGGAAUUCAUGGUGUAGCAGUGAAAUGCGAAGAGAUCAUGAGGAAGACCAGUGGCGAAGGCGGGUCUCUGGACAGUUCCUGACACUGAGACACGAAGGCCAGGGGAGCAAACGGG
Molecule: ribosomal RNA, 253 nt
Filed under: uncultured bacterium
Lineage: Bacteria
Description: partial 16S ribosomal RNA
Rfam family: Bacterial small subunit ribosomal RNA
Source: RNAcentral